Molecule: long non-coding RNA, 525 nt
Filed under: Lathyrus oleraceus (garden pea)
Lineage: Eukaryota; Viridiplantae; Streptophyta; Magnoliopsida; Fabales; Fabaceae
Description: Pisum sativum (pea) long non-coding RNA (PSAT_LNC002956)
Source: RNAcentral
UGAAACAGAUCUUCCUUAUAUUCAUUUCAAGAUGCAGACUCUGAAUCUCAGAGAGAAAGGUCAUCGAAAAUCCUUGUUGUUACUAAAAGAUGUAGCAAAAAAAAAUAUAGGUAUUGCAUUCUUCCGUCUGCUCCAGUUUCAUGUGCGCGUCUGAUUCCACUUAGUUUUUCAUCUUCAAAUGUUCUAUGUGCUGAAAAAGAACAGGUUGUUCUUAUGGUAAUAUAUUUCCAUGCCCUCCUUUGGACAUGGUGGGAUAUGACAUACAAUGAUACAACUAUGCCUCUUCAAAACAGAUAUUGUUUGAUACAUAAAAAACUUUCAUUGACAUUUAAAGUUGAAGGAUGUUACUUUUAUAGAUAAACUUUUAUUUUUAUUUUUCUUCGGUGUAUGUUAUGCAUGAGUAAAAAAAUCAUGGUUAAUGUGUGUGUGCUCCGUGUGAGUAGGAUUACAAGAGUCUUUUGAUGUACAUUGCCUAUUGUAUUGGAAUAUAUAAAUUGUAUGCAUGUUUUUAGUUUGCAUGAUCUA